This 254-nucleotide ribosomal RNA is filed under the name uncultured bacterium. RNAcentral describes it as "partial 16S ribosomal RNA". It matches the Rfam family "Bacterial small subunit ribosomal RNA", at positions 524 to 776 of the family's 1533-position model. The record is from RNAcentral.
UACGUAGGGGGCGAGCGUUGUCCGGAUUCAUUGGGCGUAAAGAGCUCGUAGGCGGCUUGGUAAGUCGGGUGUGAAACCUCCAGGCUCAACCUGGAGACGCCACUCGAUACUGCCAUGGCUAGAGUCCGGUAGGGGCCCACGGAAUUCCUGGUGUAGCGGUGAAAUGCGCAGAUAUCAGGAGGAACACCAGUGGCGAAGGCGACUCGCUGGACAAGUAUUGACGCUGAGGUGCGAAAGCGUGGGGAGCAAACAGG